Long non-coding RNA from Haliotis rufescens (red abalone), 271 nucleotides. RefSeq lists it as uncharacterized. NCBI's taxonomy places the organism in Eukaryota, Metazoa, Mollusca, Gastropoda, Lepetellida, Haliotidae. The transcript is spliced from 4 exons. The record is from RefSeq and is a predicted model, not a curated record.
GUGCAUUUAUUGAAUCAGAUCCUGAUUUAAUGAAUCAGAUCAUGUCGUGUAUAUGGAGUCUAAAGGAUUCGUCGAGCAUGGAUGUUAACAGAACUUUCACCUUGAUAGUGAAGUCAUAGUUCAAGGAGAUAGACAACAUGCCAGGAACACGAUCCGGUAAUACCGGUCACAGUCAAUGCAAAGAUGAAGCAACAGCUAUGAGCGAAACGAUUAGACCCGGUAAAAGUAAUCAUGGUCAAUCUUCCCCAUCAGAUGAAGCUAUAAAAAAAAU